GUGAAGAAAGGACAAGUGAAGAAUGGAAGUUGAUCCUGGAGGCAUGAAGUUAGCCCCAACGUUAGCCCCCUAACUUGGAGGCUAACGUUGG
Non-coding RNA from Arachis ipaensis, 91 nucleotides. Lineage: Eukaryota; Viridiplantae; Streptophyta; Magnoliopsida; Fabales; Fabaceae. The record is from RefSeq and is a predicted model, not a curated record.